CCUACGUGUGGCAGCAGUGGGGAAUAUUGGGCAAUGGACGCAAGCCUGACCCAGCAACGCCGCGUGAAGGAAGAAGGCUUUCUGGUUGUAAACUUCUUUUUACAGGGAAGAGUAUCACACUGUACCUGUCGAAUUAGCCACAGCUAACUACUUGCGAUCAGCCGCGGCAAUACGUAGGUGGCAAGCGUUGUCCGGAUUUAAUGGGUGUAAAGGGCGUGUAGCCGGGUUGACAAGUCAGAUGUGAAAUCCUGCGGCUUAACCGCAGAACUGCAUUUGAAACUGUUGGUCUUGAGUACUGGGGCGGUAGGCGGAAUUCCUGGUGUAGCGGUGAAAUGCGUAGAUAGUA
This 346-nucleotide ribosomal RNA is filed under the name uncultured bacterium. RNAcentral describes it as "partial 16S ribosomal RNA". It matches the Rfam family "Bacterial small subunit ribosomal RNA", at positions 338 to 699 of the family's 1533-position model. The record is from RNAcentral.